This 626-nucleotide long non-coding RNA is filed under the name Mytilus galloprovincialis (Mediterranean mussel). Lineage: Eukaryota; Metazoa; Mollusca; Bivalvia; Mytilida; Mytilidae. The record is from RNAcentral.
GCGCUGCUCUUUAUCGUGUAUACCAGUCACUCUUGAUACACUCGACACUUAUAAUGCCAUAUUGUCAUGGCUCUCUCAUAUGGACAUUUAAAAAGCCCAAGACACAAAAUGACGCUGCUCAGUCUCUAGUUGUUAUUGUUGGUUUUUGUUGAGGUUUUUUGGUGUGGUUUUUUUUUUUUUGUUGUUUUUUGUUUCGGGUUCCUUCGCAUAUCUUCCUCCUUUUUCUUUACACACUACCUCCCAAGUGUCUAUGCAAUAUACUUAAUAUUUAGAUAUAAGAUCUUCUCUUCUUUAAGAAAAAAAACCGCUUUUUAAGAAAAACAAAAUUCCAUUCUAUUCCAGGGAUCAAAUGAUUGGUCGCUAUAUUAUCGUUGAUUAUUAACGAGGGGUGGGCGAGAUCCACGAAUCCUACUUACCUCUCCCUUACUCCCAGUCUAAGAUCGGUCAAAUAAACUUGUCCAUCCUAUCCCUAUGUAGUACUUCGCCCUUCCCACGCUUCUCCUCUUCCCCUGGUUUCCGAUUAUUAUUCUUGCAGAUUUCCUUAUCCCUAUUCAUCAUCUCAUUAACAGUCAUAUCGCAUCAUCUUUUUAUACUACUUUGACAUAAUGCCGACAACUAUUUCAUCA